Molecule: transfer RNA, 67 nt
Filed under: Pristipomoides auricilla (goldflag jobfish)
Lineage: Eukaryota; Metazoa; Chordata; Actinopteri; Lutjaniformes; Lutjanidae
Also listed under: 1 other name
Description: tRNA-Cys
Source: RNAcentral
AGUCCCGAGGUGUUUUACAUAUCGGAUUGCAAAUCCGAAGAGGUAGGCUAGUCGCCUACCGGGGCUU